GAUUAAGUUAUUAAGGGCGCACGGUGGAUGCCUUGGCACUAGAAGCCGAUGAAGGACGUUACUAACGACGAUAUGCUUUGGGGAGCUGUAAGUAAGCUUUGAUCCAGAGAUUUCCGAAUGGGGAAACCCAGCAUGAGUUAUGUCAUGUUAUCGAUAUGUGAAUACAUAGCAUAUCAGAAGGCACACCCGGAGAACUGAAACAUCUUAGUACCCGGAGGAAGAGAAAGAAAAUUCGAUUCCCUUAGUAGCGGCGAGCGAAACGGGAAGAGCCCAAACCAACAAGCUUGCUUGUUGGGGUUGUAGGACACUCUAUACGGAGUUACAAAGGACGACAUUAGAC
RNAcentral lists this ribosomal RNA (340 nucleotides) under Staphylococcus aureus. RNAcentral's name for it is "partial 23S ribosomal RNA". It matches the Rfam family "Bacterial large subunit ribosomal RNA", at positions 1 to 334 of the family's 2925-position model. The record is from RNAcentral. Lineage: Bacteria; Bacillati; Bacillota; Bacilli; Caryophanales; Staphylococcaceae.